GGGGAUAUAGCUCAGUGGUAGAGGGCAUGCUUUGCCUGUAAGAGGUCCUGGGUUCAAUACCCAGUAUCUCCA
This 72-nucleotide transfer RNA is filed under the name Perca fluviatilis (European perch). It matches the Rfam family "tRNA". Rfam says of the family: Transfer RNA (tRNA) molecules are approximately 80 nucleotides in length. Their secondary structure includes four short double-helical elements and three loops (D, anti-codon, and T loops). Lineage: Eukaryota; Metazoa; Chordata; Actinopteri; Perciformes; Percidae. The record is from Rfam by way of RNAcentral.